Molecule: non-coding RNA, 3043 nt
Organism: Myodes glareolus (Bank vole)
Lineage: Eukaryota; Metazoa; Chordata; Mammalia; Rodentia; Cricetidae
Source: RefSeq, a predicted model, not a curated record
UCUCCCACCCGCAGGCCGCUGCUCUUGGCCUCCGGUCCUGCAGGCAGGGCCGGUCCCUAGCACCCGCGCCCCGCCCGCCGCCAGGCUCCAGAUGGCCGCUCCUUGCGCUCCUCUUGCGGGGCCCCAGACGCCGCCCGGCAGCAUCAGGCAGUCGCUCGCUCCCAGCUGCUACUGAAGAGCCCAGCACUCAUCCGAGAGCCUAGGCUGGGAUUGGGGCGGGACCGCCGGAGACCGAGCGCGGGACUUCAGCAGUCGGCUGGCCAGGACUGAGCGCCCCGCUUUCUGCAGCGCACCGAGGGCGGGGCUGGGGAUGGACCACCCAAGGGACAGCGGGAGCCGCCGCACAGCCGCCAGGAGAGGGCGCCCAGCACCCAGAACCUGCUCCGGAGUCGGACUGUGUCUAGGCGCCCGCGACCCGGCGCAGCCGAAAGCUGCUUCGGCAGGAAGCACGCCCCCUUCCGUCCGAGAGUGGUAAUGCCCACCACCAGGCGAGACACCCCACUUUCCCAGUUUUCUUCUCACUGCCCUCCACGCUUUCGGUUUUUCUCUCUUCUCCCCUUCCCUCCCCUCCUCUCCUCACCUACCCAAUUCUUCGUCUCCUCUUGCCUCCCCAACUCCUCCCUUCUUUUCCUCCCUUCCUCCCCAAUCCGCACCUUCCUGGUUCUCUUUCUACUCUGGCCUCCACCCUUGCAUUUCGGUUAUUUCCCCCAUUCACAAGUCGCUACGGUGGCUCAGGAAGGUUUUGUUUGACCCUGGGAGAUGAUGUGGAAGGCGAUGGGUUUCCUGCCCAGACUUGUUGCUCUGCGUUGUGCCUUCAAUCAACCGGAAGUAUGACAACCAUGAGGGGUUGGAGUUGUCCUCCGAUGACGAUGGGAGAAAUGGGGUGUUUGAUUUGGGACUGGGUGUUAUGGUGGGGGGCAGCGCAUCUGCAGAAUGUGGGCCUCCGGGUUCUUGCUGGACUCAGUCUCCUCAUACUGAGUUCCUUCCUUCCAAUGCAUUCUGAACGUCCCACACAGUCCUCCCUUUACCAAGACACCCCAAAGACCUACAGCUGACCUCCCAGACCAGUCCUUUCCCUUUCUACCAAAGCUGGGGAUGAGGGUAGGGAUGGAGAAAAGACACUAAGGGCCGCGAUGCCUAGCUCCUGCGCGCCCAGCUGACGUCUCCUCUAAUUCCUAAGUGUCCCGGCGCGUGCCCACAGUGCCCUUGGGCCGCUGCGUCACAGCCGCGGGGCUUUAGACCCCGAGAGCAGGUUCCAUAAGCUCUCAGAAUAAAUCCCCUCGGAAACAUUAAUCACAACGACCAGCGAGUGCAAACUGUAAGCCCACGCGGUGUCUGCCUUUUAAUCCUGCACGUAAUUCUGAAAAGCAGCAUCGGACAAGGUUCUGUUGAUCCCUUACAGGAGUUCGUGCGGUCUCUGACCUCCCAGACGUGCUUAACUGAAAUUCCAUGAAGUCUUGGCCAAUGUAAAGAAAUAUGAGAGGGCAGAAAAGAAGCAGUGAGGGGAGACAAAUGGAAAACUGGGGUGCACGUUAAUUACUGUGGAGUUAACCCUAGGCAGGAGUCCAGAAAUUAGACGGGAGCGGCGGUCCUGCGGCGGGGGUUGGGAAGCAGUUGGCUGGGAUAUGUUAGAAGUGGAAGUCGAAACCCAGGUUUUUCUCUACCAACCUUCGAACCCACGUGACCUCACGCAGGCACUGUCCUCCUGUUUGGGUCAGCUUGCAAGAAUCAGGGUUCGCCCCUCUGGGGCUUGUUGCUCGCACUUGAGAUUUCACUAUCUUGUUCAAUUAAUCAUAUUUCACUUCUCCCAUUUUAUUCAAAACCGUCUUCCAGGUCCCUCAUAAUCGUAAUCUGCGCCAUUGCCUUUUAUCUUUGAUUAAUUAGGAAGCUGAAAAUGAUAAUGGAGGGUUGGACCAAUAAAUUAGCUUUAGGAACAGACGGACCGACGUCCGGAGUAGCUGUGUGGGUGGGCGCUACAGGAUGGGGGGCAGUGGCCGCCAAGGAGCGAAAUACACUCGCUAGGCGCGAAAAGCACCGGCUAGGACCACUCUCUGUCCUGGAGUACUGAAAGACCCCUUCUGCAGCUUGAGUCUGCGCUUGGAGAGCUGCGUGUGAGGGCGGGGCUUGAUCUUUCUUUCUGAGGCCUGACCACACCAACUAGAGCCCCAAUUUAGUCUCCCGUGUUGAGCACAUUUCUCUAACAAGGAACUAGAAAGUUCUCGUUGGCUUUUGCACUCUUCGUUCUCUCUCUCCCCUUACUGGUUGGGGGCGGGGAAAGACUGACUCAAAAAAUCAGUCCGAGGCUCCCAGGCUCAAGAGGCAAGGCCCAUGGCGUCCCUUUUCUCCUUCCGUGAAGUCGCUCACGCUUCCAGACGGCUGAAUGAGAGAGCACUUUGCGGCUCUUCACGGCUUCACCCCAGCCCUCUUUAGCUUUCAAUUGAAAACCAAUUAAAGGUUUCUAUAAAUCUGUUAGCUCCCCUUUUAUCUGGGGACCCCUGAUGCAUGCGAUAUUGCCCUUUAGAUGCCUCUUCCAUGUUUUGUUUUACAAUUGUUGUAUCAAUAUAAUGCGGCCUUUCUUCUCCUGUCUCUAUAGAUACAGAUACACAAGGCAAACCAGAGCUAUUGAGGCUCAUUUGUCCCGGAGCCUAGCAGCGCUCCUCUUUCUCUCCGGCUGCUUUCCCUGCUUCGGUAGCAGCAGCAGUUAUGGUAGAAGCAGAUGGCGGCUGAUUGGGGGAGCUUUGUGGCUCUAAUGCUGAAUACUUUAUGGAAAAGGACUUUAUCAUGCUUGGUUGGGCAGAGGAACAAGGGGGUGAGAUUUAUGGCCAGGAAAAAUAAAUCUUUUUCCAAGUUGUGGUUCCUUCUCACCAGUGUCUCCUUUGCCCCUGGGGUCAAACACUAAGGAAUUGGUUUGAUUUGAUUUGAUUCGCCUCUCUGCUAACAGCAUUUUUUAGUCAGGGUCUGCGUGGAGCGUGCACUAAGAGCCAGCCGUUUAUGAAAUGCCCCCACGUUGUUGGUGCUGCUUCAACAUUGUCUGGCCACGGGG